This 301-nucleotide ribosomal RNA is filed under the name uncultured bacterium. RNAcentral describes it as "partial 16S ribosomal RNA". It matches the Rfam family "Bacterial small subunit ribosomal RNA", at positions 509 to 807 of the family's 1533-position model. The record is from RNAcentral.
CAGCCGCCGCGGGAAUACAGAGGGUGCGAGCGUUAAUCGGAUUUACUGGGCGUAAAGCGUGCGUAGGUGGCCAAUUAAGUCAAAUGUGAAAUCCCCGAGCUUAACUUGGGAAUUGCAUUCGAUACUGGUUGGCUAGAGUAUGGGAGAGGAUGGUAGAAUUCCAGGUGUAGCGGUGAAAUCCGUAGAGAUCUGGAGGAAUACCGAUGGCGAAGGCAGCCGUCUGGCCUAAUACUGACACUGAGGUACGAAAGCAUGGGGAGCAAACAGGAUUAGAUACCCCCGUAGUCCCUGUCUCUUAUAC